UGCCAGCCGCCGCGGUAAUACGGAGGGGGUUAGCGUUGUUCGGAAUUACUGGGCGUAAAGCGCACGUAGGUGGCUUGGUAAGUCGGAUGUGAAAGCCCUGGGCUCAACCUGGGAAUUGCAUUCGAUACUGCUUAGCUAGAGUAUGAGAGAGGGUAGUGGAAUUCCGGGUGUAGCGGUGAAAUGCGUAGAUAUCCGGAGGAACAUCAGUGGCGAAGGCGAGACUCUGGACAUUUACUGACGCUCAGGCACGAAGGCUAGGGUAGCGAAGCGGAUUAGAUA
RNAcentral lists this ribosomal RNA (279 nucleotides) under uncultured bacterium. RNAcentral's name for it is "partial 16S ribosomal RNA". It matches the Rfam family "Bacterial small subunit ribosomal RNA", at positions 506 to 784 of the family's 1533-position model. The record is from RNAcentral.